Molecule: small nucleolar RNA, 135 nt
Organism: Polyodon spathula (Mississippi paddlefish)
Lineage: Eukaryota; Metazoa; Chordata; Actinopteri; Acipenseriformes; Polyodontidae
Product: small nucleolar RNA SNORA13
Exons: 1
Source: RefSeq, a predicted model, not a curated record
UGCCUUUGUGUUGCCCAUUCAUUGCAUUUUCCAGAUGAAUGAGGUGUCAAACUAGGCAUACAGUGAACCUUGCAUAGGCUUUUCUCAAGGUACUCAACGGUGUACCUUGUAUUAAGUUACCCAGCAAGGACAACA